This 308-nucleotide long non-coding RNA is filed under the name Phasianus colchicus (ring-necked pheasant). Its description in RNAcentral is "lncRNA (ENSPCLG00000001317.1)". Lineage: Eukaryota; Metazoa; Chordata; Aves; Galliformes; Phasianidae. The record is from RNAcentral.
UCUUUUACAGUUCUGCUUAUUCUCAUUCAAGGAGAUUGUGAUCAAACUGCAGGAAGUAAAGAGUGGCCUACUAGAGAUGAGAAAAUAGAAAGGCAUUCCCUGAGAGAAGACUGGUAUCGUGGUUGAAACAUGCUCACAAAAACAUUCUGCAUGACCAGGCAAAGAUGAAGUCAAGAGCAGCAACAAUAAGAAGUGAGGGGACUGACAGAGUUGUGCCUGCCUGGAUUCCUAUGCAGCACAAAACACUUGCCAUAUGUUGCAUCGUCAGAAGAGGAGUCUCAGGGAUUCACACACUUGGACUUUACUGA